UCUCCGUUGGUGAACCAGCGGAGGGAUCAUUACCGAGUUUACAACUCCCAAACCCCUGUGAACAUACCUAUCGUUGCCUCGGCGGUGCCCGCUCCGGCGGCCCGCCAGAGGACCCCCAAACUCUCGUUUUAUACAGUAUCUUCUGAGUAACACGAUUAAAUAAAUCAAAACUUUCAACAACGGAUCUCUUGGUUCUG
This 197-nucleotide unclassified non-coding RNA is filed under the name plant metagenome. Its description in RNAcentral is "partial contains small subunit ribosomal RNA, internal transcribed spacer 1, and 5.8S ribosomal RNA". The record is from RNAcentral.